AUUGAACGCUGGCGGAAUGCUUUACACAUGCAAGUCGAGCGGCAGCGCGGGGGCAACCCUGGCGGCGAGCGGCGAACGGGUGAGUAAUAUAUCGGAACGUACCCCGUCGUGGGGGAUAACACAGCGAAAGCUGUGCUAAUACCGCAUACGACCUGAGGGUGAAAGCGGGGGAUCGCAAGACCUCGCGCGAUGGGAGCGGCCGAUAUCGGAUUCGCUUGUUGGUGAGGUAAAGGCUCACCAAGGCGACGAUCCGUAGCUGGUCUGAGAGGACGACCAGCCACACUGGAACUGAGACACGGUCCAGACUCCUACGGGAGGCAGCAGUGGGGGAAUUUUGGGACAAUGGGGGGCAACCCUGAUCCAGCCAUUCCGCGUGAGUGAAGAAGGCC
RNAcentral lists this ribosomal RNA (389 nucleotides) under uncultured bacterium. Its description in RNAcentral is "bacterial SSU rRNA". It matches the Rfam family "Bacterial small subunit ribosomal RNA", at positions 29 to 416 of the family's 1533-position model. The record is from RNAcentral.